Molecule: ribosomal RNA, 460 nt
Filed under: uncultured bacterium
Lineage: Bacteria
Description: partial 16S ribosomal RNA
Rfam family: Bacterial small subunit ribosomal RNA
Source: RNAcentral
CCUACGGGAGGCAGCAGUGAGGAAUAUUGGUCAAUGGACGAGAGUCUGAACCAGCCAAGCAGCGUGAAGGAUGACUGCCCUAUGGGUUGUAAACUUCUUUUAUAUGGGAGUAAAAUGUUCUACGUGUGUGAUUUUGUACGUACCAUAUGAAUAAGGAUCGGCUAACUCCGUGCCAGCCGCCGCGGUAAUACGGAGGAUACGAGCGUUAUCCGGAUUUAUUGGGUUUAAAGGGGGCGUAGGUGGGUUGUUAAGUCAGGGGUGAAAUUAUGCGGCUCAACCCUAGGAUUGCCUUUGAUACUGGCAGGCUAGAGUGCAGUAGAGGUAGGCGGAAUUCGAGGUGUAGCGGUGAAAUGCGUAGAUAUCACGAAGAACACCGAUUGCGAAGGCAGUUUACUGGGUUGCAACUGACGGUGAGGCACGAAAGUGUGGGGAGCAAACAGGAUUAGAUACCCGGGUAGUC